CUUCACCGCGCCGACCCGCAGCGGCCGUCCGGCCGGGCGGUGCUGCCCGUAGGUGGCCAGCAGGGCCUGCGCCUC
Molecule: antisense RNA, 75 nt
Filed under: Amycolatopsis australiensis
Lineage: Bacteria; Bacillati; Actinomycetota; Actinomycetes; Pseudonocardiales; Pseudonocardiaceae
Description: ASpks TB sRNA
Rfam family: ASpks TB sRNA
Source: RNAcentral